GCAACAUUGAAGCAUAGCAGAUCGUUUUAAAGACAGUACUCUCUCCCUGUUUAUUGCAAGAAUCUACUACUAAUCUCAGGUAAGCAGGCUGUUGUCAUAAAAAUGGAAUGUGAAAACAUCCACAUAGAUGGUCUACUUUGAAUUUUCUUAAUUUUAAACGUUAGAUUUGCAACACACUGAAUGAAAAGCCGACUUCAUCAAAGAAGUAGAAUUUCUCUUUUAUUUCUUACCUAGCUACUCAUUUCAGAAGCCUGUUUUUUCCAGGAAAUUCCUGCGCUGAGUCUAGGGUUCAAUCUUACACACAUACUUUCCAGCAUAUGAUCCUAAAUAAGCUGCGGAAUGAUAAGAUGAACAAAAGCAACACCAGAGGGUUGCUUUUCUUGCUUUCUCUUCUUUUCAAAAAGGAACAAUAGGUUUAUUGUGCAGGCCUCCAAAUCACAAAGUAGCUUACGAAAACUGCAGGUUCGAAGGUAGUUGAUGUUUCACUGUAGUUUAAAAGCUCUUUCCAAGCUUAGACUAACACGUCGAUAGUUGAAAACUAUCUGGACAUGUUAUAUGUUCUGGAUGUUAAUCUGAGGCUUUCAAGAGGACCUAUACCUUUAGACCUUCACAUUAGCCAACUGGCCUUAAAUCCCUCCUAGAAGAAGGCAGGGUAGAAAUCAGCCCAUUGGUUAAAUUAAAUCAAAUUAAUACAGUUGAUCCACAUUUGUUGAGACAGCUUUGAAUCUAGAGUAUCUGUUCCUCUUAUCUACUGAGCCUCAUUAAAGAUGCAACUGCCCAAAGCAACUUUAUGAGUGAUAUACCCUGAAAUGAUACAAAUUAAAUGAUUUCUUAGGGCAAUGUGAAAGAGCUUCCAGAUAAUUUUACAAUGUAAUGAGUCAAAAGCACUAACUUCAUUUUGCCGCUGUCUUUUUCUGUGUAAAAAGAUGGAAUUUGUUUUUUUCUGGAGAGAGAGUUACCAUACGAUGGUUUGCUUACAUUUUAUUUUCAUGUGAACAUAAACAUCUCCCAACCUCAGAAUUUCACAUAGAUGUCAGACGAAGGAAGGCUCUGCUAUGAAAACUAAUGUUUGCCGUCAAAUAAACUACCAGAGCCAUUGGCCACUGUGAAUGAUGAUGGGUUUUCUGGGACUUACACCAUUUUAGUGCCCACUGAGGAUAAAUUUUGGGCACUUCCAGUACAUGGAUAAACUGGGGAUAUACAGUUGUCCUGAGCACUGAAUCGACUAUGGUGUUUUUCCAGGGAGUUUGUUCAAAAUGAGUCUUCAAGGCUUCAAACCAUUGGGCCCAGAUCUCAUAUGCUUAUGAGACCUCAUGUGUUUUAUAAGAAGAUAUAACCAAACUGCAUGUUGUCUUUUUUCCUCCCCUGCUUCCUUUUAAAUCUCUUUUGCGUUACUUCUUUUAGUUUGUUCCCUUGCUUUAAAAUUUAUAUGAACCAUCGUCUUAGAAUAUUAUUUUAAAUUUCAAAGGAGGCCUUGGAUUUGAAAACAGUUUUUUAAUUUCCCCCACAUUUGGUCUGGGUGGUGAUUGUACUAAAUCAGCCUUUUACGGAAACACUAUCAUUAAAAACUUCUCAUGGUCUCUAGGGACAGGAUUUGGAAGCACAACACAAGCCUUUCUGAUUAGGGCUCUGGGAACUCCCACUUUGUUUGCAAUGGUUUUGUUUUGUUUUUGAUUUAUAAUAACUUCCAGCGAAUGGUCCUGUUUUAGAGCUAUUUAAAGAAAUUCUAAACUAAAAUUGUAAAGGAACUGGAUGAAAAACAUUAACAAAAAACAUUAACACAAUAAAUAAAUUUGUGUCCCCACCCCCAGCAGUGCACAAUCCUUCAAACCUUCCUCCUUAUUUUUACCCUUUUCUUUGAUUUGACUUGCUGCCGCCCUUAGCCUCCCUCCUCACCCUCAGGGGGCCUGGCCAUUUCUCUGGGCUUUAGAGGCUUGUAGCUGCUUCCUUUCAUUCUUUCUCCUGUAAUCCUCCAAGCUCUCGGUUCUGUUUCACCCUCCCACUAACUUUUCUUGUUUUCCAUUGCCUGAUCUUCCUGCGGGCCGCUCCACCAUCUUUCUCUUCAUUUCCUUUACCCUGAAGCUCAGAGGCCUCUUUUCCUUGCCUUCCAGUUCAUUCUGCUACUAAUCAGAAGCCACCUCUUAAUCUUGGAGGCUUUCUUUUUGUUUUUCUUUUUUUUUCAGAAAUCAAUUCAAAUCUGGACUGAUGGUUUUGUGGAACUCUCAGAGCAGGAGUUUCCUGACCUAGCGAAGCAAACAACAGAGCAUAGCAUCCUAGGUUUCAGAAGGAAUUGUUCUGGCUUAAGGAGGAUAACUAAACAUGCCUCUCCCCACUACAAGCUAUGAAAAAUAGAUAGGGGAGGCAGAUGGGAGCUCAAAAUAUGAGCUAUUGAUAAAUAUUGAUACUUAUUGAUAAAGCUGGACUAGAGACCCUGGCUUGACCCGUGGUCAGAACCAAGCUUCCACCUUAAACUGUCCCAUCUGGUCACUGGCAGAGCAGCCAGGCAACCAAAUAUUGAGAACCCUCCCCAGGUACCUCACAGCAUGGAGGAGGGACAAAUGUGAGGCUGCUGAGAGCUCUCGUGUUUCAACCUUGGCGAUGCCCCUCUCAUACUGUUCCCUCCAGGAACAUUAUGCAAAUGCAAGUACACAGCUAAUGCUGAUGCUCAGCCCCUAAUUUUAGCCAUUAGAUCAAAUCAUGUGUAAGAAUUAAUUUAAAUUAACCUAUCCCUUUACCUAAGCCAUCAAUACAAUUUUAUAAAAUUCUGACUGAACACUCGGUAACUUUAUGAGCACCAAGGAUGCAAAAGUGAAUUGGGCACAGACAACUUAGGCCAACAUGGUACAGAUUCAGGAAAGUUAUACAUAAUUGUAUGCAAAAAUAUUGUCUAGGAGUCCCGUAUGAAAAAUCCUCACGGAGAAAGCGAUCUUUGUUUGGUAAGUGCUUUUAUAAAUUCAUUUAGGCAGAAUAGACGGGUUUUGUAAAGCUUGAAACAUAUAGAAUUUGGAGGGCCCUUUCUGAUAGAAUAUAAAAUUAUGAAUUUAAAAUCAGGUUCAAAAGUUAAUGUCUAGGAUGAGAAUAGAAAUCACAAAAGAAUUCCUAAGGCCUUGGAGAUACAGGUCCCUUGCUUCUGAGAUCUUUUGAGGCAUUUUCUCAGAAAUGCUCCACAUUUGCCCCUUGGUUUCUUGCUCCACCUGGAACACUCUACAGCUCCCAGUGACUCCCAGAACUCAGAAGGAGUGUGCAAGUGGUGCCUGAAACUUAAGUGUCAAUGGCUUCAGGGUCAAUCUGCUAUAGGGUAAAUUUCCAGAGUUUGAGUGUGAUUGGACCAUAUCUUUGAAUAGUGGGGGGAUAACUUUGCAAAAAUGAGAGGGGCAUGGAAGAACUCUAUACCAUACAGUGUACCAUGAUGGCCUCCCAUACCCCCACCAAUCUUCAGGAAAAACUACCAACAUCACUUUAGGCCCCUUGUGUUUGUGUUUGUGUUUCUUAUGAAAAUGGGUGAAAAAUUACUUCGGCGUCUUGGUUGGUGUGGGAUCAAAACGGAGCCGAGAAGUGAAUAAACAUGUAAAUUAUCUACGUUGCAGUAUCUUCGAUGCCAUGAUAGAUUUUUAUUGGAACUAUGCUUAUAAUAUAUAACAGUAUAUACACCAAACCCUUACAAAAUAUAACACACACUCAUAUAUUGUAAGGAUAUUUACAUUUGCAUCUGGUACUAGAUUAAUUUAUGCCAUAUCUCAAACUGAAAAUAUCUAAAAUCAUUAAUUUUUUUCCUGAAGGUUUCUCAUGUAUUUCAGACCUCAGUUAAUGUCACUUACAUCCAUGCCAUCCCUCCAAACCAGAAUCCAAAGUCACCAAGUCUUGUCUGUUGCACUAACGAUGUAAGAUUUGUUCCCCUCUUCCCUGUCUUGACCAGUGGGUGCCCUUUUAAAGAGCCCUGCUGUCUCCUAAGAUGAUGAAGGCUGCCAUGGUAGACAGAAUAGUGCCCCGCCCCCACCAAAGAUGUCUACAUCCUAGUCCCUGGAACCUGCUUUCUUCUUUUCUUUGUGUUGAUGCCGAAUUCUAGGAACCAACCUAGAACGAAGAGGCAUCCCAGGUGAAUCUAACGAUCAGCUCAAUUUGAGAACUGAAACUACUGAUUCGGCAUUUGCCAUAUGCUGCCUCGUCUGCUAGUCAGCCUUCCUCAUUCGGGCCC
Long non-coding RNA from Equus caballus (horse), 4195 nucleotides. The record is from Ensembl. NCBI's taxonomy places the organism in Eukaryota, Metazoa, Chordata, Mammalia, Perissodactyla, Equidae.